GACCGCGUGGCCGAGUGGGUAAGGCACUGGAUUUCGAUGCCAGAGUUUGCAGGUUCGAGUCCUGCCGCGGACCA
This is a non-coding RNA of Penaeus monodon (black tiger shrimp), 74 nucleotides long. The record is from the annotation of a RefSeq genome assembly. Lineage: Eukaryota; Metazoa; Arthropoda; Malacostraca; Decapoda; Penaeidae.